Molecule: ribosomal RNA, 133 nt
Filed under: uncultured bacterium
Lineage: Bacteria
Description: partial 16S ribosomal RNA
Source: RNAcentral
CACGUAGUUAGCCGGGACUUCUUCCUGAGAUACCGUCCUCUCUCUUCUCUCAGAAAAGGACUUUACAACCCAAGGCCUUCUUCAUCCACGCGGCAUUGCUGCAUCAGGGUUUCCCCCAUUGUGCAAUAUUCCU